GCCGAGCGUGGUGGCUCACGCCUGUAGUCCCAGCUACUUGGGAGGCUGAGGCAGGAGAAUUGCUUGAACCCGGGAGGCUGAGGUUGCAGUGAGCUGAGAUCAUGCUACUGCACUCCAGCCUGGGUGACAGAGUGAGACUCUGUCUCCA
This is an unclassified non-coding RNA of Pongo abelii (Sumatran orangutan), 148 nucleotides long. It matches the Rfam family "Metazoan signal recognition particle RNA". From Rfam's summary of the family: The signal recognition particle (SRP) is a universally conserved ribonucleoprotein. The record is from Ensembl. NCBI's taxonomy places the organism in Eukaryota, Metazoa, Chordata, Mammalia, Primates, Hominidae.